GAUGAACGCUGGCGGCGUGCCUAAUACAUGCAAGUCGAGCGAACAGACGAGGAGCUUGCUCCUCUGACGUUAGCGGCGGACGGGUGAGUAACACGUGGAUAACCUACCUAUCAGACUGGGAUAACUUCGGGAAACCGGAGCUAAUACCGGAUAAUAUAUUGAACCGCAUGGUUCAAUAGUGAAAGACGGUUUUGCUGUCUCUUAUAGAUGGAUCCGCGCCGCAUUAGCUAGUUGGUAAGGUAACGGCCUACCAAGGCAACGAUGCGUAGCCGACCGGAGAGGGUGAUCGGCCACACUGGAACUGAGACACGGUCCAGACUCCUACGGGAGGCAGCAGUAGGGAAUCUUCGGCAAUGGGCGAAAGCCUGACGGAGCAACGCCGCGUGAGUGAUGAAGGUCUUCGGAGCGUAAAACUCUGUUAUUAGGGAAGAACAAAUGUGUAAGUAACCAUGCACGUCUUGACGGUACCUAAUCAGAAAGCAACGGCUAACUACGUG
RNAcentral lists this ribosomal RNA (497 nucleotides) under uncultured bacterium. Its description in RNAcentral is "partial 16S ribosomal RNA". It matches the Rfam family "Bacterial small subunit ribosomal RNA", at positions 28 to 507 of the family's 1533-position model. The record is from RNAcentral.